Molecule: ribosomal RNA, 406 nt
Filed under: uncultured bacterium
Lineage: Bacteria
Description: partial 16S ribosomal RNA
Rfam family: Bacterial small subunit ribosomal RNA
Source: RNAcentral
AUUGAACGCUGGCGGCAGGCCUAACACAUGCAAGUCGAACGAGUGGCGGACGGGUGAGUAAUGUCUGGGAAACUGCCUGAUGGAGGGGGAUAACUACUGGAAACGGUAGUUAAUACCGCAUACCAUCGGAUGUGCCCAGAUGGGAUUAGCUAGUAGGUGGGGUAACGGCUCACCUAGGCGACGAUCCCUAGCUGGUCUGAGAGGAUGACCAGCCACACUGGGACUGUGACGCGGUCCAGAAUCCGACGGGAGGCAGCAGUGGGGAAUAUUGCACAAUGGGCGCAAGCCUGACGGAGCCAUGCCGCGUGUAUGAAGAAGGCCUUCGGGUUGUAAAGUACUGUCAUCGGGGAGGCGUUACCCGCAGAGGAAGCACCGGCUAACUCCGUGCCAGCAGCCGCGGUAAUUC